This 451-nucleotide ribosomal RNA is filed under the name uncultured bacterium. RNAcentral describes it as "partial 16S ribosomal RNA". It matches the Rfam family "Bacterial small subunit ribosomal RNA", at positions 354 to 796 of the family's 1533-position model. The record is from RNAcentral.
GUAGGGAAUCUUCGGCAAUGGACGAAAGUCUGACCGAGCAACGCCGCGUGAGUGAUGAAGGUUUUCGGAUCGUAAAGCUCUGUUGUUAGGGAAGAACAAGUACCGUUCGAAUAGGGCGGUACCUUGACGGUACCUAACCAGAAAGCCACGGCUAACUACGUGCCAGCAGCCGCGGUAAUACGUAGGUGGCAAGCGUUGUCCGGAAUUAUUGGGCGUAAAGCGCGCGCAGGCGGUCUCUUAAGUCUGAUGUGAAAGCCCACGGCUCAACCGUGGAGGGUCAUUGGAAACUGGGGGACUUGAGGACAGAAGAGGAGAGUGGAAUUCCACGUGUAGCGGUGAAAUGCGUAGAGAUGUGGAGGAACACCAGUGGCGAAGGCGGCUCUCUGGUCUGUAACUGACGCUGAGGCGCGAAAGCGUGGGGAGCAAACAGGAUUAGAUACCCCAGUAGUCC